GAUCACUCCUACGGGAGGCAGCAGUGGGGAAUAUUGCACAAUGGGCGCAAGCCUGAUGCAGCCAUGCCGCGUGUGUGAAGAAGGCCUUCGGGUUGUAAAGCACUUUCAGUCGUGAGGAAGGUAGUGUAGUUAAUAGCUGCAUUAUUUGACGUUAGCGACAGAAGAAGCACCGGCUAACUCCGUGCCAGCAGCCGCGGUAAUACGGAGGGUGCGAGCGUUAAUCGGAAUUACUGGGCGUAAAGCGCAUGCAGGUGGUUUGUUAAGUCAGAUGUGAAAGCCCGGGGCUCAACCUCGGAAUAGCAUUUGAAACUGGCAGACUAGAGUACUGUAGAGGGGGUAGAAUUUCAGGUGUAGCGGUGAAAUGCGUAGAGAUCUGAAGGAAUACCGGUGGCGAAGGCGGCCCCCUGGACAGAUACUGACACUCAGAUGCGAAAGCGUGGGGAGCAAACAGGAUUAGAUACCCUGGUAG
This 469-nucleotide ribosomal RNA is filed under the name uncultured bacterium. RNAcentral describes it as "bacterial SSU rRNA". It matches the Rfam family "Bacterial small subunit ribosomal RNA", at positions 331 to 793 of the family's 1533-position model. The record is from RNAcentral.